This 659-nucleotide ribosomal RNA is filed under the name Gammarus albimanus. RNAcentral describes it as "eukaryotic LSU rRNA". It matches the Rfam family "Eukaryotic large subunit ribosomal RNA", at positions 115 to 628 of the family's 3401-position model. The record is from RNAcentral. Lineage: Eukaryota; Metazoa; Arthropoda; Malacostraca; Amphipoda; Gammaridae.
AACCUCCCGGGCCACCCGGCCUGCGGCGGAAUGUUGCGUAAAGGGAAAGGUCGUAGUCAAACCCCACAGCCACGCGAACUCUAAGUCAGCCACGAAUAGGCUAUCCCAACUAACGGCGGGAAAGACUCCACGGAGGGUGUAAGACCCGUGUGGGCGCGUGUCAAAGCUGUGCGGGCUCGGCCUCUUUUCCCUGAGAGUCGCGUUGCUUGAGCAUGCAGCGCUAAGCAGGUCGUAAACUCGAUCUAAGGCUAAAUAUCUCCACAGAACCGAUAGCGAACAAGUACCGUGAGGGAAAGUUGAAAAGCACUCUGGAGAGAGAGUCAAAAGACCGUGAAACCGCUCAGAGUAUAAGCCCAUGGCAGCUUGGAAGGCAUAUCGCUAGCGGGGCAUCGGUCUCCCUUCACGGGGAGCUGGUGUUACCUUGCUUCUGUUGUGGCUCGUUAUGGUAGGGGGGUCAAGUCCACAUCCCGCCGUCGUGUGGGGAGUUCUUGGGCGUGUCGUUGCUUUGCGGUUGACUUCGGUUGGCCGUAGGGCUCUUCGCGCUUGGUUCUCCUUUGGACACGGACGUUCAAACUCAGUUGCAAGACGCGAUAACCAGCCCACCACGGCACGUUGUGAGGUCACCCACAGGCUUGGCUUUCGAUUGUGGUCCUUGACGC